This 292-nucleotide ribosomal RNA is filed under the name uncultured eukaryote. RNAcentral describes it as "partial 18S ribosomal RNA". It matches the Rfam family "Eukaryotic small subunit ribosomal RNA", at positions 6 to 290 of the family's 1831-position model. The record is from RNAcentral.
GGUUGAUCCUGCCAGUUGUGAUAUGCUUGUCUCAAAGAUUAAGCCAUGCAUGUCUAAGACUAGGGUUUUCUCUACUCUGAAUCUGCGAACGGCUCAUUAAAUCAGUAAUUAUCUAUUUGACUAGUGACUUUUUUUACUUGGAUACCCUCAGUAAAGCCGAGAUCAAUACAUGCACGACAUUAUUUGGUGGUUUGAGUGAAUUCUCAUUUUCUCAGCCGCCAACGUAUUUAUUGGAUUUCUUAGACCAGCGUCUUGGGUUGAGUUUACACUCCACUCAAGUCCCUGUUGGUGA